RNAcentral lists this ribosomal RNA (476 nucleotides) under uncultured bacterium. Its description in RNAcentral is "bacterial SSU rRNA". It matches the Rfam family "Bacterial small subunit ribosomal RNA", at positions 335 to 801 of the family's 1533-position model. The record is from RNAcentral.
ACUCCUACGGGAGGCAGCAGUGGGGAAUAUUGCACAAUGGGCGGAAAGACCUGCAUGCAGCAAUGCCGCGUGUGUGAAGAAGGCCUGCGGGUUGUAAAGCACUUUUAUCGGGAAAGAAAAACCAGGGCUAAUACCCUUGGUCUUGACGGUACCCGUUGAAUAAGCACCGGCUAACUCCGUGCCAGCAGCCGCGGUAAUACGGAGGGUGCAAGCGUUAAUCGGAAUUACUGGGCGUAAAGCGAGUGUAGGCGGCGACGUAAGUCGGAUGUGAAAGCCCCGGGCUCAACCUGGGAAUGGCAUUCGAUACUGCGUGGCUCGAGUCUGAUAGAGGGAUGUGGAAUUCCGGGUGUAGCGGUGAAAUGCGUAGAUAUCCGGAGGAACACCAGUGGCGAAGGCGGCAUCCUGGAUCAAGACUGACGCUGAGGCUCGAAAGCGUGGGGGAGCAAACAGGAUUAGAUACCCUGGUAGGCUCUGCU